ACUCCUACGGGAGGCAGCAGUGGGGAAUUUUGGACAAUGGGCGCAAGCCUGAUCCAGCCAUGCCGCGUGCGGGAAGAAGGCCUUCGGGUUGUAAACCGCUUUUGUCAGGGAAGAAAAGGUUCUGGCUAAUACCUGGGACUCAUGACGGUACCUGAAGAAUAAGCACCGGCUAACUACGUGCCAGCAGCCGCGGUAAUACGUAGGGUGCAAGCGUUAAUCGGAAUUACUGGGCGUAAAGCGUGCGCAGGCGGUUAUGCAAGACAGAGGUGAAAUCCCCGGGCUCAACCUGGGAACUGCCUUUGUGACUGCAUGGCUAGAGUACGGUAGAGGGGGAUGGAAUUCCGCGUGUAGCAGUGAAAUGCGUAGAUAUGCGGAGGAACACCGAUGGCGAAGGCAAUCCCCUGGACCUGUACUGACGCUCAUGCACGAAAGCGUGGGGAGCAAACAGGAUUAGAAACCCGGGUAGUCCCAUGAU
RNAcentral lists this ribosomal RNA (475 nucleotides) under uncultured organism. Its description in RNAcentral is "partial 16S ribosomal RNA". It matches the Rfam family "Bacterial small subunit ribosomal RNA", at positions 335 to 801 of the family's 1533-position model. The record is from RNAcentral.